Molecule: long non-coding RNA, 1197 nt
Organism: Ictalurus punctatus (channel catfish)
Lineage: Eukaryota; Metazoa; Chordata; Actinopteri; Siluriformes; Ictaluridae
Exons: 5
Source: RefSeq, a predicted model, not a curated record
CGCGAGAGUUCACCUGCGAGCAGCGCGAGAGUUCACCUGCGAGCAGCGCGAGAGUUCACCUGCGAGCAGCGCGAUUUACAAAAUGGUGCCGGUGGUGCUUCUUGCUGAUUUCUGUUGAGACAUUUCUCCUCGGCGUGAAAGCAAACCUCGUCAUUAUUUCUCAACGCGCGGGAGUAAACCCUGCUCCAUAGGCCCUGAUGUAUAUAUCAGACCGGAUGUGACGCAUCGGAGCCAGGUAAAGGUCAGAACAGAACUAUGAAGGUAAAACAUGCCGAAAGGAGGAAAAAGCCGUCAGAGAGUGGAUCUGACCUGGAGGAUUACAGUGGAAUGGAUUGUUUGGUGACAUCAUUACCUGUAAAAGUUAGAGGUGUUACAGAAUUCUGGGUUCUGAUUUUUCAUAAGGUGUUGAUUUUUUUUUGAAGAAGAAGUGAGGAGACGUUUAUUUAACAUUUAUGGGAGGAGUCUCCAGUGUCAGCGCUUUGGAACAGUCUGAGGUCAGCGUCUCUCCAUCACGCCUCAUCAUUCCUCACUUCCACUGAACGAGGGCGCCUCUCUAGGGGACGUCUCUAGGGGAGGAAUAUUUGAACAGAUGAAUUGAGGACCGUCUCUCUUGGGAGUCCUGGAUUUUCUGAGCGAGCAAUAGAGAAAGAAGAGCAAAAAGGGAAUUGAAGAGGGAGGAAGUGAGAGAUAAAGAAUGGAGAGGGGUAAUGACUUCACAGAGACCCAUCAUCACCACCCCUUAUUCCCUCUGAGGCUGAAUAGUGAACGAGGGCAACUCUCCAGGGGACGAAAAUUCGAACAGAUGUGUCGAGGUCUUUCUGAAAAGAGAGGAACUCGAGUGAUUCUGUUUGUUCUGGGCCUCUAGCUGCAGGUCCUGUUUGCUCAGUUCCUGAUUGCUAAGUGGACCAUAAAGUCUGAUUCGGUUCAUCAUUGAUUCAAAUGUUUUUAACCCUAAACAAGCUGUUUAAAUUUUUUUUUAAUGAUGUUGAAAUCUCAGUUCUCUCUCUCGCUCUCUCUCUCUCUCUUCAUUCUCUCGCUCUCUCUUCAUUCUCUCCCUGGUUUUGAUUGAUUUAUUUUGUGGGUUUUUUUUUUCUUCUUCCAUUUUUUAAUUAAAUAUCUUAUCAGCCUUAAAAUUGACUAUUAAUCCAUAAUUGAAGUAGUAAUAAUAAAAUAAUAAAAAAAAACUUGUACACUGUA